AUAACUUUCAACAAUGGAUCUCUUGGCUCUCGCAUCGAUGAAGAACGCAGCGAAAUGCGAUAAGUAAUGUGAAUUGCAGAAUUCAGUGAAUCAUCGAAUCUUUGAACGCACCUUGCGCUCCUUGGUAUUCCGGGGAGCAUGCCUGUUUGAGUGUCGUUAAA
Molecule: ribosomal RNA, 161 nt
Filed under: Amanita kalamundae
Lineage: Eukaryota; Fungi; Basidiomycota; Agaricomycetes; Agaricales; Amanitaceae
Description: 5.8S ribosomal RNA
Rfam family: 5.8S ribosomal RNA
About the family: 5.8S ribosomal RNA (5.8S rRNA) is a component of the large subunit of the eukaryotic ribosome. It is transcribed by RNA polymerase I as part of the 45S precursor that also contains 18S and 28S rRNA.
Source: RNAcentral